AUGGGAUUGGGGAGCGACGCGAGCUCGUCGUCGUCGCGGCUGGACUCGGCGCCGCUGCUGCCGCACCACAGCGCCGAGGGGGGGCACCUGUCGUCGCAGCCCAAGACCUUCGCGAACGUGUUCAUCGCUGUGGUCGGCGCCGGCGUGCUGGGCCUGCCCUACACGUUCUCGCGCACCGGCUGGGCCGCGGGCUCCAUCCUGCUCCUCUCCGUCGCGCUGCUCACCUUCUACUGCAUGAUGCUGCUCGUCGCCUGCCGCCGCCGCCUCGCCGACGACCACCCGAAGAUGCUCUCCUCGUUUGGGGAUCUGGGGGACGCCGUGUUCGGCGCGCCCGGCCGCCUCGCCGUGGACACCAUGCUGGUGCUCAGCCAGGCCAGCUUCUGCGUCGGGUACCUCAUCUUCAUCUCCAACACCAUGGCGCACCUCUACCCCGUCUUCGCCCCCUCCUCGAACGUCUUCCUCUCCCCUAAGGCGCUCUUCAUCUACGCCAUGCUGCCGUUCCAGCUCGGGCUCAACUCCAUCAAGACGCUCACGCUCCUCGCGCCGCUCAGCAUCUUCGCCGACGUCGUCGACCUCGGCGCCAUGGGGGUCGUUGUUGGCCAGGACGUGUCGACUUGGCUCGCCGCGCACCCACCCGUCGCCGCGUUCGGCGCCCCCGCCGCGCUCCUCUACGGUGCGGGCGUGUCCGUGUACGCCUUCGAGGGCGUCUGUAUGGUCCUGCCGCUGGAGGCGGAGGCCGCGGACAAGAAGAAGUUCGGCGCCACGCUCGGGCUGUCCAUGGCGUUCAUAGCUGUCAUGUACGGGCUGUUCGGCGUCAUGGGGUACGUCGCGUUCGGCGACGCCACGCGCGACAUCAUCACCACCAACCUCGGCAGCGGGUGGCUGUCGGCCGCCGUGCAGCUGGGGCUGUGCAUCAACCUCUUCUUCACCAUGCCGGUGAUGAUGAACCCGGUGUACGAGGUCGCCGAGCGCCUGUUCCACGGAAAGCGCUACUGCUGGUGGAUGCGGUGGGUGCUCGUGGUCACCGUGGGGCUCGCGGCCAUGCUUGUGCCCAAUUUCACCGACUUCCUCUCCCUCGUGGGGAGCAGCGUCUGCGUGCUGCUCGGCUUCGUGCUGCCGGCCACCUUCCACAUCAAGGUGUUCGGCGCCGAGAUGGGCUGGGUCGGGGUUCUCAGCGACGUCCUCCUGGUGGUGCUCGGCCUCGUGCUCGCCGUCUUCGGCACCUACUCGUCGCUGGUGCAAAUCUUCCACUCUUCCAGCGCUUAA
Molecule: ribosomal RNA, 1266 nt
Filed under: Triticum aestivum (bread wheat)
Lineage: Eukaryota; Viridiplantae; Streptophyta; Magnoliopsida; Poales; Poaceae
Description: partial small subunit ribosomal RNA
Source: RNAcentral